GACCGAGGGUGCAAACGUUGCUCGGAAUCACUGGGCGUAAAGCGCACGUAGGCGGACUCUUAAGUCGGUGGUGAAAUCCUGGAGCUCAACUCCAGAACUGCCUUCGAUACUGAGAGUCUCGAGUCCGGGAGAGGUGAGUGGAACUGCGAGUGUAGAGGUGAAAUUCGUAGAUAUUCGCAAGAACACCAGUGGCGAAGGCGGCUCACUGGCCCGGUACUGACGCUGAGGUGCGAAAGCGUGGGGAGCAAACAGG
RNAcentral lists this ribosomal RNA (253 nucleotides) under uncultured bacterium. Its description in RNAcentral is "partial 16S ribosomal RNA". It matches the Rfam family "Bacterial small subunit ribosomal RNA", at positions 524 to 776 of the family's 1533-position model. The record is from RNAcentral.